CUUCAAGAAGAAGGCAUCACACCCUACCAUCAACUCCCAAAGCUGAUAUUCUGUUUAAACUACUUCC
This 67-nucleotide transfer RNA is filed under the name Didelphis albiventris (white-eared opossum). RNAcentral describes it as "tRNA-Pro". Lineage: Eukaryota; Metazoa; Chordata; Mammalia; Didelphimorphia; Didelphidae. The record is from RNAcentral.